CCUACGGGGGGCUGCAGUGAGGAAUAUUGGUCAAUGGACGAGAGUCUGAACCAGCCAAGUCGCGUGAAGGAUGACUGCCCUAUGGGUUGUAAACUUCUUUUAUAUGGGAAUAAAAUGUUCCACGUGUGGGAUUUUGUAUGUACCAUAUGAAUAAGGAUCGGCUAACUCCGUGCCAGCAGCCGCGGUAAUACGGAGGAUCCGAGCGUUAUCCGGAUUUAUUGGGUUUAAAGGGAGCGUAGGUGGAUUGUUAAGUCAGUUGUGAAAGUUUGCGGCUCAACCGUAAUAGUGCAGUUGAAACUGGCAGUCUUGAGUACAGUAGAGGUGGGCGGAAUGCGUGGUGUAGCGGUGAAAUGCUUAGAUAUCACGAAGAACUCCGAUUGCGAAGGCAGUUCACUGGACUGCAACUGACACUGAGGCUCGAAAGUGUGGGUAUCAAACAGGAUUAGAUACCCUUGUAGUC
This 460-nucleotide ribosomal RNA is filed under the name uncultured bacterium. RNAcentral's name for it is "partial 16S ribosomal RNA". It matches the Rfam family "Bacterial small subunit ribosomal RNA", at positions 338 to 795 of the family's 1533-position model. The record is from RNAcentral.